This 292-nucleotide small RNA is filed under the name Vulpes vulpes (red fox). RNAcentral's name for it is "7SK RNA (ENSVVUG00000000449.1)". It matches the Rfam family "7SK RNA", at positions 1 to 280 of the family's 331-position model. From Rfam's summary of the family: 7SK was discovered as an abundant small nuclear RNA in the mid-70s but a possible function has only recently been suggested. Two independent studies have found that 7SK RNA binds the CDK9/cyclin T complex (known as elongation factor P-TEFb). Lineage: Eukaryota; Metazoa; Chordata; Mammalia; Carnivora; Canidae. The record is from RNAcentral.
GGAUGUGAGGGUGAUCUGGCUGCGACAUCUGUCACCCCGUUGAUCGCCAGGGUUGAUUCGGCUGAUCUGGCUGGCUAGGCGGGUGUCCCCUUCCUCCCUCACCGCUCCAUGUGCGUCCCUCCCGAAGCUGUGCGCUCGGUCGAAGAGGACGACCAUCCCCGAUAGAGGAGGACCAUUCUUCGGUCAAGGGUAUACGAGUAGCUGCGCUCCCCUGCUAGAACCUCCAAACAAGCUCUCAAGGUGUCAGCAGUGCCAUCCUCCCUCUAAAGGCUAUAGGGAAGAAUCCUUCCUU